AUUGAACGCUGGCGGCAUGCUUUACACAUGCAAGUCGAACGGCAGCGGGGAGGAGCUUGCUUCUCUGCCGGCGAGUGGCGAACGGGUGAGUAAUACAUCGGAACGUGUCGAGAAGAGGGGGAUAACCACCCGAAAGGGUGGCUAAUACCGCAUAAAUUCUGAGGAAGAAAGCUGGGGACCUGGGAAUAGGCCUAGCGCUUUUUGAGCGGCCGAUGUCGGAUUAGCUAGUUGGUGAGGUAAAGGCUCACCAAGGCGAAGAUCUGUAGCGGGUCUGAGAGGAUGAUCCGCCACACUGGGACUGAGACACGGCCCAGACUCCUACUGGAGGCAGCAGUGGGGAAUUUUGGACAAUGGGGGCAACCCUGAUCCAGCCAUGCCGCGUGUAUGAAGAAGGCCUUAGGGUUGUAAAGUACUUUUGUUAGGGAAGAAAAGUCAGCUGUGAAUAAUGGCUGAUACUGACGGUACCUAAAGAAUAAGCACCGGCUAACUACGUG
This 494-nucleotide ribosomal RNA is filed under the name uncultured bacterium. RNAcentral's name for it is "partial 16S ribosomal RNA". It matches the Rfam family "Bacterial small subunit ribosomal RNA", at positions 30 to 507 of the family's 1533-position model. The record is from RNAcentral.